Molecule: small nuclear RNA, 195 nt
Filed under: Carlito syrichta (Philippine tarsier)
Lineage: Eukaryota; Metazoa; Chordata; Mammalia; Primates; Tarsiidae
Description: U2 spliceosomal RNA (ENSTSYG00000024806.2)
Rfam family: U2 spliceosomal RNA (bases 1-122)
About the family: U2 is a small nuclear RNA (snRNA) component of the spliceosome (involved in pre-mRNA splicing). Complementary binding between U2 snRNA (in an area lying towards the 5' end but 3' to hairpin I) and the branchpoint sequence (BPS) of the intron results the bulging out of an unpaired adenosine, on the BPS, which initiates a nucleophilic attack at the intronic 5' splice site, thus starting the first of two transesterification reactions that mediate splicing.
Source: RNAcentral
AUCACUUCUUGGCCCUUUGACUAAGAUCAAGUGUAGUAUUUAUUCUUAUCAGUUUAAAAUACCUUAUAGCUGUAAAUGAUUCUAAUAAUAAUUACAGAAGAAAGAUUAUUGGGGGAAGUUCCAAGAUGGUAACUAAAAAGUAGCUGACAGGCCACUCUCUCACAAAGCAGACCUAGGGGAAGAGCCUCAGCCUCU